AAAAAAAGAGAAAAAAUAAAGUUAAAAAGAAAAAAAAAAAAGAAAACACUGCAGUAAACAUCAUUGGGAUUUUGCAAACUCAUGAAACACAUGAGCAAGUACUUUCCCAAAGCACUGGGGUUAGUUUUUCUAGUUCCUCCAGGGGUGAUGUUAGAUCAUCAACUUGAGAUCCUUUUGACUUUUUGAGACCUCCUUUAUGGAUAAGCACAUGAAAGAUCCAAAUAAGCACAAUCAGAAAUGACAAAGGUGACAUUACAACUGAUCUCACAGAAAUACAAAAGAACCUCAGAGACUGUUAUGAACAUCU
This is a long non-coding RNA of Rhinopithecus roxellana (golden snub-nosed monkey), 307 nucleotides long. RefSeq lists it as uncharacterized. The record is from RefSeq and is a predicted model, not a curated record. NCBI's taxonomy places the organism in Eukaryota, Metazoa, Chordata, Mammalia, Primates, Cercopithecidae. The transcript is spliced from 3 exons.